Long non-coding RNA from Strongylocentrotus purpuratus (purple sea urchin), 511 nucleotides. RefSeq lists it as uncharacterized. Lineage: Eukaryota; Metazoa; Echinodermata; Echinoidea; Camarodonta; Strongylocentrotidae. The record is from RefSeq and is a predicted model, not a curated record. The transcript is spliced from 3 exons.
UGUUUUCACGAAGUGACGGUAGUGAGGAAAAUCGCACAUAUUUUCACUUUUGAUUUUUUUGCAUUUUUGGACAUCAUUCACUAAUACCUUGAACCUCACAAAAUUUCAGAUCAUAAUAAUGUCUAAUUAUGUCACUAUGACGAUGACGUAAACAAGAAAAUACCUAGCAAAAGGAUUUUCUGUUUUCACGAAGUGACGGCCAAGUACGCGCUUAACAGCCGUCAAUUCGUGAAAACAUCGUUUGCUCUUUUCCUGCUUUUAAUAUUUUCACGAAGUGACGGUAGUGAAAAUUUCGCAGUUUGGAACAGUCACAGACCAUGUAAAGUUUCAGAUGCAGUAGAUACAAUUUUCACUUGUAUGAAGGAAGCACUGGGAAAGUACAUCUACUUUUCAAGAAUGCCACAGGCCAGAAACAAAUCCAGAUUGGAUACAGGGACCGACAUGCUGGUAAGAUGGGUCCUUGAUACUUCACUAAACACAGAGCUGGAGAAUGUGACUUGGCAAAGUGACC